This 168-nucleotide microRNA precursor is filed under the name Ovis aries (sheep). Its description in RNAcentral is "miRNA (ENSOARG00000024463.1)". Lineage: Eukaryota; Metazoa; Chordata; Mammalia; Artiodactyla; Bovidae. The record is from RNAcentral.
GGAGGGGCGUGGGGAGGGGUGGAGUGGAGUGGAGUGGAGGGGGCGUGCUGGGGGAGGGCAUGGCAGAAAGGCCAGCCUAGGCACCCCACACCUGUCUGAGGGCCGCAGGAGGCUCUGGUAGGCACACGCAUCCCAGGCCACCCUGAGUCUCAUACUGCCCCCAUUCCC